This 649-nucleotide ribosomal RNA is filed under the name uncultured Lachnospiraceae bacterium. Its description in RNAcentral is "bacterial SSU rRNA". It matches the Rfam family "Bacterial small subunit ribosomal RNA", at positions 66 to 736 of the family's 1533-position model. The record is from RNAcentral. Lineage: Bacteria; Bacillati; Bacillota; Clostridia; Lachnospirales; Lachnospiraceae.
ACUUCGGUGGAUUUGAUCUAUUUCUAGUGGCGGACGGGUGAGUAACGCGUGGGUAACCUGCCUUAUACAGGGGGAUAACAGUCAGAAAUGGCUGCUAAUACCGCAUAAGCGCACAGAGCUGCAUGGCUCAGUGUGAAAAACUCCGGUGGUAUAAGAUGGACCCGCGUUGGAUUAGCUGGUUGGUGGGGUAACGGCCCACCAAGGCGACGAUCCAUAGCCGGCCUGAGAGGGUGAACGGCCACAUUGGGACUGAGACACGGCCCAGACUCCUACGGGAGGCAGCAGUGGGGAAUAUUGCACAAUGGGGGAAACCCUGAUGCAGCGACGCCGCGUGAAGGAAGAAGUAUCUCGGUAUGUAAACUUCUAUCAGCAGGGAAGAUAGUGACGGUACCUGACUAAGAAGCCCCGGCUAACUACGUGCCAGCAGCCGCGGUAAUACGUAGGGGGCAAGCGUUAUCCGGAUUUACUGGGUGUAAAGGGAGCGUAGACGGUGUGGCAAGUCUGAUGUGAAAGGCAUGGGCUCAACCUGUGGACUGCAUUGGAAACUGUCAUACUUGAGUGCCGGAGGGGUAAGCGGAAUUCCUAGUGUAGCGGUGAAAUGCGUAGAUAUUAGGAGGAACACCAGUGGCGAAGGCGGCUUACUGGACGG